This 884-nucleotide long non-coding RNA is filed under the name Chinchilla lanigera (long-tailed chinchilla). Its description in RNAcentral is "lncRNA (ENSCLAG00000022380.1)". The record is from RNAcentral. Lineage: Eukaryota; Metazoa; Chordata; Mammalia; Rodentia; Chinchillidae.
GCCUUGGACACGUAAGGGGAACUGCCUGAGGGUUCUUCUAGGUGACAGCAGGAAGCCGAGAAGCGGGGAACAGCAGUGUGAGUGGGUGACACACGGAGGAUGUUUUCAGGAGAAAAGCCGCGUGCUGGGCUGGCGAAGUGUGGGGUCCCGUGAUUUGUAGACGAUUUGGUCCACCUGAACUCAUCUCUACCUCAGUUUCCCUAGGACAGAGCCACCUGUCCCUGCGGCAGUGCACCGCGCGCUGGUCCUCCUCCUGCUCUCUGCGCCCUGCGGGAACCUGCACCGGAGCUAUGGGAAGCGGGACCUCCACCCAGCCUCACUUCACAUUUCAGAACGCAGAGAAAGCUUUCAAGGCAGCGGCCCUGAUCCAGAGGUGGUACUGGCGCUAUGUGGCCCGGCUGGAGAUGCGGCGGCGCUGCACCUGGAGCAUCUUCCAGUCCAUAGAGUACGCCGGGCAGCAGGACCAGGGCCAGGUGUGGCCUGGCGGCGCCUCCACCUGCCUCCCAGCCUCGGGCAGUGACUGGGACCCCCUGCACCUUUCCACUUGGUUUCUAAAGCCGGGUCCCCUGCUUCCUCUGCAGCUGCACGAGUUCUUCAGCUACCUCGUGAGUCACUUCACUCCCAGCAGCCGCCAUGAGAGGGACCUCCUGAGCCGCAUGCUGACUGAGCAGAGCUGUCCGCAGGAUGCGGAGCUGGAGACCUGCGGUGACUACAAAGCCAUCGAGGUGCCCGCCAACUACACAGGGCCGCGCCUGUCCUUCCCGCUGCUUCCCAGCCAUGCCACUGCCCUGGUGGAAGCUUUCAGGCUGAAACAAGUGAGCUCAGGGGCCCAGCCCCAUGUGAGCGGCCCACACAGAAAGCUCCUGCUCGGGCGUCUGGGUUAA